Molecule: long non-coding RNA, 921 nt
Organism: Pseudoliparis swirei
Lineage: Eukaryota; Metazoa; Chordata; Actinopteri; Perciformes; Liparidae
Exons: 3
Source: RefSeq, a predicted model, not a curated record
CUCCUCCCCACCGCCAUCUGCCUGAUGGAUCGUGGAGGUCUCCAUCGUGGAAUAUGCCUACUAUGAACUAUUCAUACACUCUGUCAUAUUCAUUGAAUGUAUUUUAACUCUAAAUCUGUCCUUCUGUACACAUUACAUCUAUUGCAUCUGUCCAUCCUAGGAGAGGGAUCCUCCUCUGUUGCUCUCCUGCAGGUUUCUUCCCUUUUUUUUCCCCCCUGAAGGGUUAUUUGGGAGUUUUUCCUGGUCCGAUGUGAGGUUUUGGGGCAGGGAUGUCUAUGUGUACAGAUUGUAAAGCACUCCGAGACAAAUUUUGUAAUUUGUGAAAUUGGGCUAUACAAAUAAACUGAAUUGAAUUGAAUAUUACUGCCGUUUGGUAAGUGUUGAAAAAGUUGGUAAAAAGUGAACCAUACAGACAUUUUAUUUAUUACUAUUAUAGAUAAAUAUACCAGUAUCGUAUUUAUGGUAUACUGUUUUUAUGGUAUCAGUAUCAUGAUAUUUAUGGCAGGUAUGGUAUAGAAGAUCGUGACAACCAGGUAGAGGCAGAACAGACUCGAAUAAUGGGUAGAGCACAAGACUUAAAGACUUGUUCACGCCAACAACAACAAAAUAGCAAGUUGGUUCAUGAAUGACCAUAUUAUACACAAUAUUACUAUUAUUAUAGGGCCCGGUCACUGACUUGGUGUUCGUGGAAGUCCCCCCCACCGCGCCUAUCCUUCUCACCUUUUUCACCCCUGACCUGUUUUCAUGCCUGAAAUUAAUUUCUUCACUUGCCAACAGAUGAGUCAGUGACCGCUUUGGCAGGACUGCAGGGUCUCGUUGAAGAUGCUUCAGUGACGGCUUUGGCAAGAUUGCGGUGGUCUCGUUGAAGGUGCCUGGCUUUGGAAGAGGCUGCCAUCUUAACAACCACGCUCUUCGUCCAGG